Molecule: long non-coding RNA, 956 nt
Filed under: Marmota monax (woodchuck)
Lineage: Eukaryota; Metazoa; Chordata; Mammalia; Rodentia; Sciuridae
Source: RNAcentral
GCCUCACUAAGUUGCUGAGGCUGGCUUUGAUUCUACUGCCUCAGUCUCCUGAGUCACUGGGAUUAUAGGCAUGCACUACCACACCUGGCUAAAACCAACAUUUGUAAGACCACUCACACACACAUAUAGAUAAUCUUCAACUAUCUAGAUGUUAAAUAUAGCCAAUCCUUUAACAAAUUCCUUAUAGCAACUGGUAAUUGACUAAUAAUCAAUUCUAUGGAGAAUAUAGCAAGAAGAAACUAUCUUGAAAGAGUAGAAAAAAACACUAGAUAAAUUUGGACAGAGGUUAUUUAUUUAUUCAGAGCUUGCUAUAGCAAGAGUCAGCCACCAUUGGUUGCAUUUGGCAGAGACUAAAAACAAAAACAAGGUGAAUGUCAGGCAUGCUCUAAUUGGGGUGUAAGCAUGGGAGGCUUAGGCAGACUGCUUAGAAGCAGGGUAUCCUAAGUGAUGGAUUUGGAAAAAAAAUAUUUAGCUUUACUUGACUGGUUCUGAGUUGAAAUGAAAAGAAAAAAUCAGGAGAAUUUGGCAGUUAUUGAUCAAGUCCUGACCAUUCUGGGCUGAUUGUUGCAGAUACUGUGGUUUGGCUUUCUGAACUGGUGAUUAUAAUGAAAAUUCUGUUGCCAAUAUGUGGUCUGGUCAAUGUCCAGUGAUAUAUCCUCUCUCAAAAGCAAUUCAAAUUUGAUAUCUGAAAUACUAAAAAUGUUUUUAGUAAAAGUUGAAGGCUGAUUCUUUUCCUUAGCCUACAGAUCCUUAUCUCAGACCUCCUUAUUCUUUUUCAUCCAUUUUGUGAUGCCUGUAACCUGAAGGGAUACAGGAGGAGUGAAGUGGUAAAGGAAGUGGGAGUAAUUAAUUAUGUAACAAAUUAUGAAACUGUUCCACAUGCAAAAAACAAAUAUUAUUAGCUUGAAUAACAAGAAUAAGAUCAAGUUCUGCAUUCUUUAGUAGGUGAGCACUGU